Molecule: ribosomal RNA, 482 nt
Filed under: uncultured bacterium
Lineage: Bacteria
Description: partial 16S ribosomal RNA
Rfam family: Bacterial small subunit ribosomal RNA
Source: RNAcentral
AUUGAACGCUGGCGGCAUGCCUUACACAUGCAAGUCGAACGGUAACGGGCCUUCGGGUGCCGACGAGUGGCGAACGGGUGCGUAAUACAUCGGAACGUGCCCGAUCGUUGUGGAUAACGAGGCGAAAGCUUUGCUAAUACCGCAUACGAUCUACGGAUGAAAGCAGGGGACCGCAAGGCCUUGCGCGGACGGAGCGGCCGCUGGCAGAUUAGGUAGUUGGUGGGAUAAAAGCUUACCAAGCCGACGAUCUGUAGCUGGUCUGAGAGGAUGAUCAGCCACACUGGGACUGAGACACGGCCCAGACUCCUACGGGAGGCAGCAGUGGGGAAUUUUGGACAAUGGGCGCAAGCCUGAUCCAGCCAUGCCGCGUGCAGGAUGAAGGCCUUCGGGUUGUAAACUGCUUUUGUAAGGAACGAAAAGCCUUCUUUUAAUACAGGAGGGUCAUGACGGUACCGUAAGAAUAAGCACCGGCUAACUACGUG